CAAAAGCUUAUAAAGAUUCCAUGGAAAACAGGGGCAUAUGUAUAUCCUAUGGAUUAUUUGGAGGGAUUUUAUCAACUGUAGUUUCAAUAUCUGCAGGAGUUCACAUCGCAAUGUACAUUUAUUACAGGAAACGAGUGCGAAAACCUGCUGCAGUAUAUGAAGAUAUGCAGUUUAAUACGGUUGAAAGACAACGAUCAAGCAACGAGGAAACGUACAGUGAAUUGACAUGAAGAUUGUAUCAGAUAAUUGGUCAUAAAUUUACUUCAUAGUAUUUGCACUACCAAGGAACACGAAAAACAUAUGUUUUGAAUAUUUUCA
Molecule: long non-coding RNA, 318 nt
Organism: Mytilus californianus (California mussel)
Lineage: Eukaryota; Metazoa; Mollusca; Bivalvia; Mytilida; Mytilidae
Exons: 3
Source: RefSeq, a predicted model, not a curated record